Non-coding RNA from Vicia faba (fava bean), 291 nucleotides. The record is from the annotation of a GenBank genome assembly. Lineage: Eukaryota; Viridiplantae; Streptophyta; Magnoliopsida; Fabales; Fabaceae.
AUGGUAUUUGCUGGCCAUAAUGGCGUAAUGGGCUCUGGUGACCUUUCUAGGGAGCGAGAUGAGCUGAAGAAGAAAUGUGAUACCCUAGAGUGGGGAAAUUACAAAGUUGAAAAGGAGUUAACCUUGCUGCGAGUAAAAGUCGAGGAGAGGAACAUUGGAAAAAGGCUUCUAAAGAAGUGGCUGAAGCGUAUAGGGAGUUUGAAGCGGAUCAUAAAGUUCUUUAGCAAACAAAAGAAUGAUCAAAUCAAUGCUUUGAAAGGCCUUAAAGAAGAGGCAGCUGCUGCUCAAUAG